Molecule: transfer RNA, 76 nt
Filed under: Clostridium disporicum
Lineage: Bacteria; Bacillati; Bacillota; Clostridia; Eubacteriales; Clostridiaceae
Also listed under: 14 other names
Description: tRNA-Met(cat)
Rfam family: tRNA
About the family: Transfer RNA (tRNA) molecules are approximately 80 nucleotides in length. Their secondary structure includes four short double-helical elements and three loops (D, anti-codon, and T loops).
Source: RNAcentral
CGCGGGGUGGAGCAGUUGGCAGCUCGUCGGGCUCAUAACCCGAAGGUCGUAGGUUCAAGUCCUACCCCCGCAACCA